GCCCCGUGAGAAGUAGAAAGUGAUGUCACAGAAAGCAGAAUAGCUGCCUUCCUACCUGCGAGGAUUGAUCCUGUACCAGACGGGCAUCCAGGCACCUAGCUACAUCCCCUUUGUUAAUCUUGUAACCAGAAGUAGCGACCUUCAGGACUCGGGUUCCAGACGGAAGCCGAAAAACAAAAGUUUUAUUUUCUGAGCGCUCAGGGAGGCGGCCAGUGCUGGGUCUGAACCUCCUGCGUCCCAGAUAAGAGACUGUAUUGCAUUUCUAAAGGGCGAAACUGCAAGAGAGGCGAGGCUUGGUGUUACAGCAGAGGGAACCAUCUAGCCCAAGGAACACAACAGUAAGGCUACAGGAGCAGGCAGGAAUCCUAACUGAGGAAAGCAGACCAAGAAGAGACCACUGUAGGCUAGAGAAGGCCAGCUUUAUCCAGAAGAGCAUGCGGUAUUCACGUGGACUUGUAGGCCAGGAAGUACACAUGUGGAUCAGACAUCAGUCUCAGUUUCAAACCUGUGUACUGUGUAUCUGAGUCACAGAUGUUAAAGCAAGCACUCGUGGGUUCCUGGAGGAGGGCAGCCUGCCAGUUACCUGUUGGUGAAUGUCAGACUAUGUGCUUUGGUCCUCUGUGAUUCAGAGUCCAUCUGGAAUCUCUUCAUGGCCGCUGCCUCGCUGGCACGGGCUUUGGACUGAAGCAAGCUUAGGACAAGUUUGGGUUCUAGAGAGCGGCAAGCAGAGUAUCUGUUCGGACAUCCCUUGCUGAUUUUUAGAUGUGACUGCCAGACUCCUGCUGGUCUCAGGUCCAGAGCCCUGGCCGCACCCCCCCCCCCUUCCUCAACCAACGUCUUACCAGUCUUCCUCAACCAACGUCAACUCCCAGGGCUGACACCUUGGAACAUGGCCUCUCUCAAGCCUCAAGCCCCAAGCUGAGCUCCUGUCCCUACCUCAGGCAGGAUCUCACGGAUGCUUCUAAUGAAGUUCUCUCCGACUCUGUCUGAGCACCCACCACGCGAGGAAGGAGCUGCGGCCGACGGCCCUCAGCCCCGGCUGCUGACAGCAGCGAUCCAUCUCCAUCACCGUAAUGGCGUCCCCAUUAAUCGGCCAUAAACUAAUAAAGCAAGCACUUUCCACCCC
Molecule: long non-coding RNA, 1126 nt
Filed under: Mus musculus (house mouse)
Lineage: Eukaryota; Metazoa; Chordata; Mammalia; Rodentia; Muridae
Description: predicted gene, 35867
Source: RNAcentral